UUGUUGGUGGGGUAACGGCCUACCAAGGCUUCGACGGGUAGCUGGUCUGAGAGGAUGUCCAGCCACACUGGGACUGAGACACGGCCCAGACUCCUACGGGAGGCAGCAGUAGGGAAUCUUGCGCAAUGGGCGAAAGCCUGACGCAGCGACSCCGCGUGCGGGAUGAAGGCCUUCGGGUUGUAAACCGCUUUCAGCAGGGACGAAAUUGACGGUACCUGCAGAAGAAGCCCCGGCCAACUACGUGCCAGCAGCCGCGGUAAUACGUAGGGGGCAAGCGUUGUCCGGAUUUAUUGGGCGUAAAGAGCUCGUAGGCGGUUCGGUAAGUCGGAUGUGAAAUCUCCACGCUCAACGUGGAGGCGCCAUUCGAAACUGCCAUGACUUGAGUCCGGUAGGGGAGUGUGGAAUACC
Molecule: ribosomal RNA, 408 nt
Filed under: uncultured Actinomycetes bacterium
Lineage: Bacteria; Bacillati; Actinomycetota; Actinomycetes
Description: bacterial SSU rRNA
Rfam family: Bacterial small subunit ribosomal RNA
Source: RNAcentral